Non-coding RNA from Chlorocebus sabaeus (green monkey), 542 nucleotides. The record is from RefSeq and is a predicted model, not a curated record. Lineage: Eukaryota; Metazoa; Chordata; Mammalia; Primates; Cercopithecidae.
AUCAGAGGCUCUGGGGUUGGCUCCACAGCCCUGGGACAGCGGAGUCUGAGGGGUUCUCUCGACAAUAACUCUCCCUUUUCCUUCUUAUGGCCGCCCCCAUCACCGCUUCUCCUCUGGACACUCUGAUGCUUGCUUCCCAGAACUGGAAGACUCCACCAUUACAGGCCACCAGCAGGUGUCAGCAUGUUCCUCCUCUGCAUCUGCAGAAGCAGCAACAGAAAAGACAAAAGUGGAAGAGGAAGAGAAAACCGGGAAGAAAACCAAGAAGCCCAGGAAGAAUACCUGGCGGAAUGUCCUGAACCGCUGGGACAUUUUUAAUAUAUUUUAGAGACCCCUGAAGGGAACCAGCCCCCUGAAGGUGCCUGUGUGAGCGCCCAGGUUCAGUUCUUCCUCCAUGACACUUACAGACACUCUCUGUGGACAGAUAACCCCUCAGCAGAGAGCAGCCCACAGGCCUCAGUGUCUUGGCAUCUGAGUAGACCUGACUGUGGGGAGCUCAGGGGCCCAAGGUCACCUUCCAGGGCCCGAGGAGCUCUCUGAGA